UGACCAGCUGUCAGCAGAGACUCGUAUCACUGUGUGUUUUGCUCUGGAGAGGCUGAGAGGAAUCGUUUUCUUCCUACUUGAAUCUCAGAAUGAGGACAGUCCUGCUGAUCGCCCUCUGUCUGAUCUCAGGUGAGUGUCAUCAGAACUUCACCGGAGUGACAGGACAGUUAGGGACGUCUGUCAUCAUCACCUGUGUGUAUCCCAAGAACUACCCAGACCAUGGCAAAAUCUUCUGCGUUAGCAUGGGCUCCCGGUGCGGGACCCUGGUGUCGACGGAUCGCAACGCAACAGAGGCCAAAAGAGGCCGAUAUUCACUGGUCUAUAACAGAGAGGAAAGAGCUUUGGAGGUCACCAUUGAUGGACUGAUGGAGAACGACACGGCGAUGUACUGGUGUGCAGCCAGAACCGGUCUUAAAAAACCUUACAAGACCACAAGAGUUAUAGCAGUUGUUCUGCAUGUGAGUCCAGUGACUGGACAAAUAGGUGGAAGUGCAGACUUCAGAUGUCCAUAUGAACGUGGACUUGAAUCAAGCCCAAAACACUUCUACAGGGGAGAACACUCCCAUAAUGCCCCUCUUCACCAAAGAGCCGUCCUCAUUCAGACCAACCAGAGCAACAUCCUGGUCACUCAAGGGAGAUUCUCUCUCUAUGACAACACCACAUAUAGAGUGUUCACCGUGACCAUCUUUAACCUGACAUC
Molecule: long non-coding RNA, 700 nt
Organism: Clupea harengus (Atlantic herring)
Lineage: Eukaryota; Metazoa; Chordata; Actinopteri; Clupeiformes; Clupeidae
Source: Ensembl